RNAcentral lists this long non-coding RNA (1920 nucleotides) under Citrus sinensis (sweet orange). RNAcentral describes it as "long non-coding RNA (CSIN_LNC000256)". The record is from RNAcentral. Lineage: Eukaryota; Viridiplantae; Streptophyta; Magnoliopsida; Sapindales; Rutaceae.
CUCAGUCCACUUAUAAUACUCUUUGUUUGAAAAACACAUUUUACCUCAUUUCUCAAAACAAAUAAAAUCAAAUUCCAGAAGACAGAGCGGGCUGAGCUGUUACGAAGAUGAAUUGGUGUUUAUCUCCAAAGUGAGCUCCAAAUAAGAUGAAUUGAUGCUUUCUCUACAGAGCGGGCUCUCCGUGGCUUGUACUUUCUCUGGUUCUUGCCUUUUUUUUUUGUAAGUUUUUUCAAUUCAAAUUUAUUUCUCCUUCUUUCUAGAUUUAGUUUUUAUUUUUGAAAUGUGAACAAGCUUAUUGUUGGAAUUGUAAAGACCCAAGCUAAAUUGAUUCUUACAAUUUAAUAGAGAAAAAAAAUUGGUGCCUAAUUCACCUCCUCUCUUUGUUCUCAUUUGCUACAGGAUCCAUUGCUUCUUCAUUUACACCACACAGGUGAGAGAACUUAACUAAUAUUUUUUUAAUUUAUCCUCGUUAUUUUCCUUUGCUUUCUAAUUACUGUUGUAUUUUAAGUUCAUGCAUUGAUGAUAUUUCGGCUAGAUCUAGCUCUAUUUUCAUCGAUGAUUGUUAGCUUAUCUAGAGUAAAUUUUAUGUUUAAGUAAUUUCUGUGAAUGAUUUUAUUUGUCUACAAUUGGAUUGCUGAGCUGUAGUAUAUUUAGAGUGAAUUUUGGUUGUUGAAUUCUAUUUGAGUAGCUUUUGUGAUUGUAUAUUUAAGUAGCUUCUGUGACUAAUUCUACUUGCCCACCGAAUUUUGAAUUAGAUGAGUUGUUUUAUUGAGCCGUUGUUUAUCUAGUGUGAUGCUGGUAGUUGAAUUUUGUUUGAUCAGCUUUUGUGAGUGAUUCUAUUUGCUUACUGAAUUCUGAAUUGGAUAUAUUGGAUUGACUAAAUUGAAGAUUAUAUAAAGAAAAAAUGUUGUGCAUUGAAGAAGAAACUGCUGCUCUGUUCUUUAGUGGAUGUAGGCUGUCUCCAGCCGAACCACUUAUAUUUGUUGUUCUUUGAUUACUGUUUCUGGGUGAUUCUUUUGUGUGAAUUCGUUUGGCCAUAUUUCUAGAUUGUGAUUAGAGAGUUUAGUUAGGUCCUGAUGAUUGUUGAUUGGAUAUUAAAUCUGAUCUUGUUUCAACAAUAUGUGGUCUAUAGUCAUUAAAUUAUCAAAAAGAUCAUUGGUGAUAUUAAAGAGAAUAACGAUGGUUUCAUACUGUUCCCUCAACUAUUUUCUGCAUUGAAGUGAGAAUUAAAUUCGAAUUUUAACAUUAUUAGUUAGGAAUAUGCAUUGUGGGAAGACAACAUUUGAGGGAAAUUUUUUUCAUUUUUGUCUACAGUAGGUAAUGGUUUCUCAACAUUCUACCACCACCACCUUGUUUCUAUCUUGGGUGGUGGUGAUUGUGACUUUAAUGUCCAUUGGCAUAUUGGCUAGUGCCAUUUAUUGAGCGUGGCCAUUACUAUGACAGCUAAUUGUGCUUGCUCAUUUCAUUUACACCUGGUUGAUUUUUCUUCUAAUUGCAUAACUUCAUGUAACAUUAGCUUUUAGUCCACCAUGAGCUCGGUUCACUCGUUUUCUGCUCAAAAAUAAUGUUGGACCUUUUUCUUUUAAUUUUAGUUCCAAUAUGUGAAGCCUCCAUAUCAUAAUUUCUCAAUUCCUUGAGAGCUUUCUUGAAUCGGUUCAGCUACUUGAGUUUCCAAUUCUUGCACCCUUGAAAAUUACUGGGAAAUCACCAAACAAGUCAACAAAGUGUAAAUGAAAUGAGAAAACACACUGGAAUGUUAUUGAUCAAGAACUUCAUUUAUUUGAUCCAACGGCUAAGAAGAAUUUUGUAAAAUUCUUUUCUAUAUAUCCUCAAAUCUUGUAGUGUUAAUGAUCAUUCAUCAAUACCAUCCAAUUUUCUCCGUUAUAAGUUCUUUAAAACCCAUCCUUGUCCGUGUUGCAG